CAAUGAGCUGCAUGGAACUCUACUGAUAAGUGACUGAUUUUCCCUGCAAGGAUUGUCUUAUUUUAAACUUCAAAUUUAGUUGCCUUACUUUAUGCAAGGCAAUUUUGAAUGGAUUUUAAAGCCAUAUUAUAAGUACCAGGAUAAUGCAAGAAAGCUUUUCUUAAAGCUUUUCCAGCAUAAGGCAAAGGAAGGAUUGCCAACAGUUGCUUGUCAGAGAAUGUCUGGUAGGUGAGUUCACUUAGGGUGGCUUCUUCUACCGGGAACAGGAAGAAGGUAUUAAUCCAAACAAAUGGAGACAGAAGACCACCUCACAUUUUUUUGUGACCUAGAAUUUGGAGAACGUGUUGGAGACUGAUGGAUACAUACACAGAACCCACCACGGACUUGCUGAAUAGGUGCCAGACUGCCCAACUUUCCUGUUUAUCACCCUUUAUUCUGAGGAUCAUCUUGUAUAAAACACAGACCCAUGAAAUAUAAGAAAGAAUCAUUAAUUAAAAAAACAAAAGAGGGGUGCCUGAGUUGCUCAGUCAUUAAGCCUCUGCUUUAGGCUCAGGUCAUGAUCCUGGGGCCCUGCUCAGUGGAGAGCCUGCUUCUUUCUCUUCCUCUCCCUGUCUGACUCCCUGCUUGUGCUCUUUCUCUCUCUCUCUCUCUCUCUCUGUCAAAUAAAUACAUAAAUAAAAUCUUAAAAAUAAAUAAA
This 697-nucleotide long non-coding RNA is filed under the name Vulpes vulpes (red fox). RNAcentral describes it as "lncRNA (ENSVVUG00000017047.1)". Lineage: Eukaryota; Metazoa; Chordata; Mammalia; Carnivora; Canidae. The record is from RNAcentral.